This 271-nucleotide ribosomal RNA is filed under the name uncultured Burkholderiales bacterium. Its description in RNAcentral is "partial 16S ribosomal RNA". It matches the Rfam family "Bacterial small subunit ribosomal RNA", at positions 505 to 775 of the family's 1533-position model. The record is from RNAcentral. Lineage: Bacteria; Pseudomonadati; Pseudomonadota; Betaproteobacteria; Burkholderiales.
GUGCCAGCAGCCGCGGUAAUACGUAGGGUGCAAGCGUUAAUCGGAAUUACUGGGCGUAAAGCGUGCGCAGGCGGUUUUGUAAGUCUGUCGUGAAAGCCCCGGGCUUAACCUGGGAAUUGCGAUGGAGACUGCAAGGCUUGAAUCUGGCAGAGGGGGGUAGAAUUCCACGUGUAGCAGUGAAAUGCGUAGAGAUGUGGAGGAACACCGAUGGCGAAGGCAGCCCCCUGGGUCAAGAUUGACGCUCAUGCACGAAAGCGUGGGGAGCAAACAG